CGCGGUAAUACAGAGGGUGCAAGCGUUAAUCGGAAUUACUGGGCGUAAAGCGCGCGUAGGUGGUUCGUUAAGUUGGAUGUGAAAUCCCCGGGCUCAACCUGGGAACUGCAUCCAAAACUGGCGAGCUAGAGUAUGGUAGAGGGUGGUGGAAUUUCCUGUGUAGCGGUGAAAUGCGUAGAUAUAGGAAGGAACACCAGUGGCGAAGGCGACCACCUGGACUGAUACUGACACUGAGGUGCGAAAGCGUGGGGAGCAAACAGGAUUAGAUACC
Molecule: ribosomal RNA, 271 nt
Filed under: Pseudomonas sp.
Lineage: Bacteria; Pseudomonadati; Pseudomonadota; Gammaproteobacteria; Pseudomonadales; Pseudomonadaceae
Description: partial 16S ribosomal RNA
Rfam family: Bacterial small subunit ribosomal RNA
Source: RNAcentral